RNA transcript from Eupeodes corollae, 955 nucleotides. It is a transcript of the gene named lysosomal membrane ascorbate-dependent ferrireductase CYB561A3-like, with no coding region annotated. The record is from RefSeq and is a predicted model, not a curated record. The transcript is spliced from 5 exons. Lineage: Eukaryota; Metazoa; Arthropoda; Insecta; Diptera; Syrphidae.
AUUAAACUACGUUCUCACUGAAGUUCUAAAAUAGAAACGAACAUAGAACAUGGAUUUGAAAAUUGGUGAAAUUCAAAGUUGCAGCCUUUGUCUGCUCGUAUGGAGCAAAUUUUUAAUUUCGGAAGUAGUUGCUUAUUUUAUUAUGUACAAUGUUGCCUUACUUCGCGAAGUUAUUUGGACAAAUGAAGAACUUUUUAAACCGCUAUUGAGCAAUCACGCAUUUAUUAUGGUCGUCACAAUGAUUGUUAUUAACGGUCACGGAAUGGUUAUAUUUCGUCUAUUUCCUAGCUGCAGAACUCAAAUAAUUAAAUAUAUCCAUGCGGGUAUUCACACAGUGACUUUAAUUGGUUCCAUAUACGCUUACUGUUUGAUAAACAGAUCUAAGAGUGUCAUGGGUCUAUUCCAAUCCACUACUCAAAAAUUUCAUAUUUCCUUUGGUCUGAUGACAGCAGUUUUGUUUAUUUUUCAAUGGCUCGCUGGAGUGUUUGUAUACUUGUACCUAUAUUCAAAUCAGAAAAGGAGAAAACUUUUUGCUUCAUGUCACAAUUUUAUUGGAGUUUGUGUUCUACAAAUCUCUAUAGUUACAUCGUGUCUUCAAAUCCAGGAAAUGAGUUAUAAGAUUUUCAUAUUUUAGAAUCAUUUUCGAAGAAGACUAUGCUGAAAAUGCAAUGGUAUUAAUGGUAAUUUAUGGAAUUAUUAUCAAUGUAAUAGUUUUGAAUCCACAUCUUGAAUGGCGUUUGGUUGGUCCUCUUUGAAUGAAAAUGGAAUUUUGUAUCAUAAUGGUUUAUUUAUGGUAACUCUGUAAUGGAAAUAAAUAGUGUUUCACACGUGAACACUUGUAUUUUUUCAGCUUAUGUGGGAUUCCAUUGGUAAACUAGUUGAUUUAAUUUUUCAUAAGAUUUUAAUAAAAUGUUGAUUUUCCCUUCAUUUGGCAAUAUAAAUCUAUUUGAAAUUG